GGGAUAUGGCUCAGUUGGUAGAGCGCCUCGUUCGCAACGAGGAGGUCACGAGUUCGACUCUCGUUAUCUCC
RNAcentral lists this transfer RNA (71 nucleotides) under human gut metagenome. It matches the Rfam family "tRNA". From Rfam's summary of the family: Transfer RNA (tRNA) molecules are approximately 80 nucleotides in length. Their secondary structure includes four short double-helical elements and three loops (D, anti-codon, and T loops). Further hydrogen bonds mediate the characteristic L-shaped molecular structure. tRNAs have two regions of fundamental functional importance: the anti-codon, which is responsible for specific mRNA codon recognition, and the 3' end, to which the tRNAs corresponding amino acid is attached (by aminoacyl-tRNA synthetases). tRNAs cope with the degeneracy of the genetic code in two manners: having more than one tRNA (with a specific anti-codon) for a particular amino acid; and 'wobble' base-pairing, i.e. permitting non-standard base-pairing at the 3rd anti-codon position. The record is from RNAcentral.